Molecule: long non-coding RNA, 209 nt
Filed under: Gossypium raimondii (Peruvian cotton)
Lineage: Eukaryota; Viridiplantae; Streptophyta; Magnoliopsida; Malvales; Malvaceae
Description: long non-coding RNA (GRAI_LNC009154)
Source: RNAcentral
GAAAAGGGGCAACAGAGGGGAUUUGGGGAUUGAUUUUAUUUUUUCUUUUCAUUUUUCUGUAAUUUUGGCUAUAAAGCCAUUCAAACAUCUGUAAGGGGAUCUCCUCUUUUCACGAUUUCAAGAAAUAAAAGAACAGAUCCAAGGUUUUUUUCUUCAUCAGAUUCGUAGUUCAUUUUUUUAUUUUUUAUUUUUUACAUUAAAUAGAAAAU